GGAGACGAUAGUUGCGAGGGAAGCAGCUGUUUCCGUGUCCACUGUCCUCCAAGAGGAGUUUUUGGCUUGUAAAAGUCCUCCUGCACCCGCAGCACUGCCUCUAAGGCUGCCCUGUACCCACUGCAUUGACCACAAACAGCAAGAGGAGACAGUUGAGGAACACACAGAGCGCUUAGUUGACACAGAGGAAAGUGCAGUUUCAUCCACUGUCAAGAGAGAGGAACUGACAGGUGAUACAAACCCUGUCCUAGCACUUCCUCCAAGCCUGGCAUGCAUCCAUGACAAAGACCACAAUGAUCCAAAUCAGAAAGGGAGGGGCACUACUAAGAAGGUGUAUCUCUGCCCUCACGCUCACCAGCUGGACCCAGAUGCUAACUUAACUCUGUCAACCCACAAUGAUGAACCCAGGACCUGGACCCUGGAAGAGACAAAGGAUUAUAGGAUUGGCAUUGACAUUGAGAGUGAAGAGAGGAGCGUCCAGGAGGAGGUGAGACCGAGGGAGGGGUUGAAGUGUGAUGCGGACUGUGCCCAUUCCAAGAGCUCCAAUGGGAUGGUUUCAUCAGAGAGAGCAGAGACCAUCCUGGGAAGAGUGGGCUUUCUGGUCAGGAACCACAUGCAGAAAAUCCCAUUUUUGAAGAUGGAGGAAAAAGAGGAAUGUAAGAAACUGAAUAAGAAGUUGAAAGAUGACGAGAAAGAGAGAAAGGAGAUGAAAAACAAGGAGGAGGAGCAAAAAAAGAGGGAGAAGAAAGAGAUGAAAGAGAGAGAGAAAGAGCAGAAGAAAGUCAUGAAGGCUGAGAAAAAGA
RNAcentral lists this long non-coding RNA (803 nucleotides) under Salmo salar (Atlantic salmon). Its description in RNAcentral is "lncRNA (ENSSSAG00000102320.1)". Lineage: Eukaryota; Metazoa; Chordata; Actinopteri; Salmoniformes; Salmonidae. The record is from RNAcentral.